AAUAUGUCAUAAUAUCAUUCAAAUACCACCAGAACUCAUUUUACCAGCUCCUCAUACCCUCAUCCAUUGUUUUAGCCUACAGUUUUAGCCUCCCACCACAGGGAGAGAUAUGGACCAUGUCAAAUCAGGAAUCCUGAAGAAAAUCAUGUUUCAUUUGCUAUAUAUAUAGCCCCAUCAGGCAACCCUACUGAUUCCCCUGUAACCCACAACCCAACACACUUCUAUUAGAAACAGGUGCCCUGGUCUGGCCUGUUAAAUUACUAUUGCCCUGUUAUUGUAUUUAAGCCCCAACUAAAAUACAUUCUGCUGUUCACUGUGCACAUCAGUCUGGAUCUCUAAAGAAAGACCUGAUUACCAGCUGUCUGUGAUGAGACCAAAAAGAAACCCAUGUUUUUCUGGCACUGCAAGAAUGCCCUUUGGAUUCUUAUAGUCAACAAAACUAUGUGUACUCUGAGAAACAAAAAGAGAGCAGCUUCACAUCUCUCUGCUCAGGCUGUUGUCUUUGAUGUAUCUUGGUAACCUGGCAACCUGUUUUGAUUGAUAAAAUGCCUGAGUAUAUUACACAUAGAUUCACUUGACUGUUACCCCUCCCCCCCACACACACUUACUUUAGCAUCAAGUCUUACUGUAGCAUCUGCCUUAGACUGUCUGUCUAUUUAAUUCAUUUAAUUUAUCUUUGCAAUAUCCCGCGAAUCUGAACUCUCUGACUGUGAAGAAAUAAGGGUGUGAAUGUCUAAAUGUCCCAGUUAACAGCAGCUUGGCAGGAGUACAUGUCACUGGAAUUGUACUAUAGUGUAGCAGCUGUUUGGGCCUGUGUUGUGUUGCCUCUCCUGACCUUGGACGUGAAUUAAAGCUCUUGGAGCAGUGUAGACAUCUGGCAGAGCCCAGCGUAGAGCACAUGUGGAUGACUGACCCAUCGGACACUGGGCUCCUUACUGUUGGGCUCCUUACUGUUGUCCUCUCUGCCCGGGUCAAGGCAAGUAGCAUCGCGGUUAGUCAUGUUCAUAUACCUCUAUAAAGAAGCAAUUAGUUUACCAUCAGUUACUCUUCGAUAUUAACAUACUUUACACAUUAGUUCAUUUUUAUAUUGUGUUGUUGAGGCAGAUGCAAUGAUGUGUUCGAGACCCCCUAAAGACGUGGGGACGGGGGGACCGAGUCAAGGCCGGAACCGGGAGGGGGGCGAGGGGUCUGGGACCAAGUAAAUUGUAAUUGCUUCAAAUCGCGACUAUAAUAAGAGUCCAGUAUUUCUGUGUUCAUAUUUCAGCAGAAUUAUUGAGAAUGGUGAUAAGAAUGCAGAGAGCCACAAUAAAUGAUCACUGACCCAAACAGGUUUAUAAAUGAUCACUGACCCAAACAGGUUUAUAAAUGAUCACUGACCCAAACAGGUUUAUAAAUGAUCACUGACCCAAACAGGUUUAUAAAUGAUCACUGACCCAAACAGGUUUAUAAAUGAUCACUGACCCAAACAGGUUUAUAAAUGAUCACUGACCCAAACAGGUUUAUAAAUGAUCACUGACCCAAACAGGUUUAUAAAUGAUCACUGACCCAAACAGGUUUAUAAAUGAUCACUGACCCAAACAGGUUUAUAAAUGAUCACUGACCCAAACAGGUUUAUAAAUGAUCACUGACCCAAACAGGUUUAUAAAUGAUCACUGACCCAAACAGGUUUAUAAAUGAUCACUGACCCAAACAGGUUUAUAAAUGAUCACUGACCCAAACAGGUUUAUAAAUGAUCACUGACCCAAACAGGUUUAUAAAUGAUCACUGACCCAAACAGGUUUAUAAAUGAUCACUGACCCAAACAGGUUUAUAAAUGAUCACUGACCCAAACAGGUUUAUAAAUGAUCACUGACCCAAACAGGUUUAUAAAUGAUCACUGACCCAAACAGGUUUAUAUUAGAUUUUUCUUUUAAAGACAAUAUACACUGAGAAUACAAAACUUUAGGAACACCAUAGACUGACCAGGUGAAUCCAGGUGAAAUAUAUGAUCCCUUAUUGACGUCACUUGUUAAAUCCACUUCAAUCAGUGUAGAUGAAGGGGAGGAGACAAGUUAAAGAAGGAUUUAUACGCCUUGGGACAAUGGAGACAUGGAUUGUGUAUGUGUGCCAUUCAGGGGGUGAAUGGGCAAGAAAAAAGAUGUAAGUGUCUUUGAACAGGGUAUGGUAGUAGGUGCCAGGCGCACCGGUUUGUGUCAAGAACUGCAACGCUGCAGGGUUUUUCACGCUCAACAGUUUCCUGUGUGUAUCAAAAAUGGUCCACCACCCAAAGGACAUCCAGCCAACUUGAUACAACUGUGGGAAUCAUUGGAGUCAACAUGGGCCAGCAUCCCUGUGGAACGCUUGCGACACCUUGUAGAGUCCAUGCCCAGAUGAAUUGAGGGGGUGCAACUCAAUAUUAGGAAGGUGUUCCUAAUGUUUUGUACACUCAGUGUAUGUAACAACUUCUCCCUAAUAAUACUGAGCUUGAAACUUUCAAACAAUUUCCCCCAUUGUUCUCAUUCUGAAGAGCGCAACAAAGUUUGACGAUAUUUCUCAACGAAAGUAUAGGACAUUAAUGUUACUAGUGAAGUUGGAAGCCCAGGUUUCAAUAGGCAAUAAGUUAUGAAUGGGUCAUGAGGGAGUGUGGAUAUUUGGCCUGUCGAAGUGGUUUUAUGAGCUGAAUGAAUGGGAGCUGAUAAUUAUUAUCAUUUUUACUCUGCCGGUCUCGGGAAGACAUGAGUUCUCAUUGUCUGAAACCUAGUCAAGUCCGAGUAAAAAUUUAUCUGACACAGAGACAAGACAGAAAAACUCAAUAUGUGGUCUUGAAUACUACAACACUGAGCAUAUGUAUUCCAUUCCAUCUGGAGCCCUCUCAGUCUGUCUCAAAGUUGUUUCUGGCCUGGUUUCCAUUUGAGUUCAUUGUUUCCUAGUCGGCAGUCCAAAGGGACUCUUAAGGAAUAAGUACUUUAGAGUUCAUAAUAUUAGACAUAGGAGGGCACCGUUAUGCUCUUUUAGCACUUCAGUGUGUAUGUGAAUUCACAGGAGGUUUUCCGUACAGGGGGGUGUCCG
This is a long non-coding RNA of Oncorhynchus keta (chum salmon), 3048 nucleotides long. RefSeq lists it as uncharacterized. The transcript has 3 exons. NCBI's taxonomy places the organism in Eukaryota, Metazoa, Chordata, Actinopteri, Salmoniformes, Salmonidae. The record is from RefSeq and is a predicted model, not a curated record.